GAAACUGGCAAUCUUCAAGUUUGAGACAGGAGAGUUAAAGGAGGAGCUUGAGCGGAAGAGGCCCACUCUGGCCGGUGAAGAGUGUGUGCGCUGUGUAGGCCGGAUCGCUCCAGAGUUUCUGUCUUGUACAGCGAACAUUAGUCAUCCAGGUUGGUGGAUGAAGAGAACAAGUAGCUCAGGAUCACACUACCUCCGGGAAACCUGCUGAACGCCACACUCCGCUCUGCUCCUAUCUUGCCUGGACUAACUCCCCUCCCCUGUGUUCUCCAUUCUGCCCUGUUGGAGCCAACUGUUGCACCUUUCAAUAAAACCUCUUUGUUACCCCUUCAAA
Molecule: long non-coding RNA, 331 nt
Organism: Micropterus salmoides (largemouth bass)
Lineage: Eukaryota; Metazoa; Chordata; Actinopteri; Centrarchiformes; Centrarchidae
Exons: 3
Source: RefSeq, a predicted model, not a curated record